This 253-nucleotide ribosomal RNA is filed under the name uncultured bacterium. RNAcentral describes it as "partial 16S ribosomal RNA". It matches the Rfam family "Bacterial small subunit ribosomal RNA", at positions 524 to 776 of the family's 1533-position model. The record is from RNAcentral.
UACGUAGGGGGCUAGCGUUGUUCGGAAUUACUGGGCGUAAAGCGUGCGCAGGCGGCUUCUCAAGUCAGGGGUGAAAGCCCAGAGCUCAACUCUGGAAUUGCCUUUGAGACUGAGUGGCUUGAGUACGGGAGAGGUGAGUGGAAUUCCCAGUGUAGAGGUGAAAUUCGUAGAUAUUGGGAAGAACACCGGUGGCGAAGGCGGCUCGCUGGCCCGUAACUGACGCUCAUGCACGACAGCGUGGGGAGCAAACAGG